GCUGGAUGGAAAAUAAAAUAACUUGAUCUGGUAAUGUUUAAACAUUUCAUUAAAACAUCUGUAUAGAAGCUUAAAUUUCUAUGGAGUGUUAUCUAUCAAUAUUUUCUCUUAUGCUUUUUGACUUUCAUGCUUAGAAAAUCCAUGACCAUUCUAAAUUUGUUUUACAAGUUUUUAAUUUUACUUAAAGUAUUAAAUGUUAUGUCCUUUGAACUUUAUUUUGUAACAGGUAUUAAGGUAGGCAUCCUAACUUAUCUGCCAACUUCCAAAUGAUAGUUAGGAUUACACAUUUUCCCCAAUUUAAACCAAAUUUCCAUAUGCAUUUGUAUAUUUGGACUUUAUAUUCUACUUCAUUAAUCCAUAUAUGUGGAUUUAAAAAUAAUCUUCUAUUUCAAUUAAUACAGCAUCACACUUUUUCCUACUAACUGAGGAGGAAAUUCUCAUUCUCUGUGUAUUUGAAGGUUUCCUGAAGCCUGAGCUAGCCGCAGUAUUGCAUUUGGCCUCUAGAGGGGGAUGUUACACAAAUGGAAUUUGAUGGUCAAAAACAACCAGAUCUUUUUGAAGAAGAGCUUUUUGUUUUACACGCUGGGUAAACUUAUCCACCUCUCUGUCAGAGUGUCCAUGUGGCUGAAUUGUUUCCAGAAAAGACCUCCAGAAAAUAGAUUCCAGUUUCUCCACCGCUCAGACAUGAAGCCCACCCUCAUCUCGGUGCUUGUGAUAAUAUUUACACUCAGAGAAACAAGAGCCCAGAGAGUGACUCAACCCGAGAAGACCCUGUCUGUCUUUGAAGGCGCCCCAGUGCAUCUGAAGUGCAACUACUCGUAUUUUGGGAGUCCUGAGCUCUCCUGGUAUGUCCACUACCCCAAACAACGCCUCCAGUUACUCCUGAGACAAAUCCCUAGAGAGAGCGUCAAAGGUUUCACUGCUGACCUUAACAAAGGCGAGACAUCCUUCCAUCUGGAGAAACCAUUCUCGCAAGAGGAAGACUCAGCCACGUAUUACUGUGUUCUAAGUGGCACAGUAGCUGGUUUUCCAAGGAAGCAGAACACAAACCCUUUAGUUACAGGAGAUAUUUCUUUGUAAACUCUCUGUGUGGCCACAGUGGGGCAUUCUUUCUCCAGAUAUUAACAUUAAUUUUGUCCCCUAGAUAUUAUAUCAUCAGCUGUCAGUUAGCUAUAGGAU
Molecule: non-coding RNA, 1179 nt
Organism: Cebus imitator (Panamanian white-faced capuchin)
Lineage: Eukaryota; Metazoa; Chordata; Mammalia; Primates; Cebidae
Source: the annotation of a RefSeq genome assembly